UACGUAGGGUGCAAGCGUUAAUCGGAAUUACUGGGCGUAAAGCGUGCGCAGGCGGUUGUGCAAGACAGAUGUGAAAUCCCCGGGCUCAACCUGGGAACUGCAUUUGUGACUGCACGGCUGGAGUGCGGCAGAGGGGGAUGGAAUUCCGCGUGUAGCAGUGAAAUGCGUAGAGAUCGGGAGGAACACCAGAGGCGAAGGCGGCGACCUGGACAGUUACUGACACUCAACUACGAAAGCGUGGGGAGCAAACAGG
This 253-nucleotide ribosomal RNA is filed under the name uncultured bacterium. RNAcentral describes it as "partial 16S ribosomal RNA". It matches the Rfam family "Bacterial small subunit ribosomal RNA", at positions 524 to 776 of the family's 1533-position model. The record is from RNAcentral.